ACAUUGAGGAGUGCUGCGGUUCCACACUGAAGCUACUAAUCCAUUUAUUGUUUUUCUUACAGUUUGGGAAAUGGCGAAGCUUUUCCAACUCGCAUUGUUUCAGGGGACCCUGAGCAAAAUGCUGGGAUGAACCAAGAUGACAUCCCCAAACACUCUGGUUCCACGUAGGCAUCCUCUGCCAGACCUCUCAGCGAGCUCCAGAAAUGGGCAAAAGUUAUGUUAUAGAAGACCUUCCAACGGGGAUUAGGCACCAACAUUUCUCGUUGUGGACAUUUACUCGGGUCUGUGAUGGACGAUUUAACAACGUUCUAUGGAUCU
This is a long non-coding RNA of Spea bombifrons (plains spadefoot toad), 318 nucleotides long. RefSeq lists it as uncharacterized. NCBI's taxonomy places the organism in Eukaryota, Metazoa, Chordata, Amphibia, Anura, Pelobatidae. The transcript has 3 exons. The record is from RefSeq and is a predicted model, not a curated record.